GAUGAACGCUGGCGGCGUGCCUAAUACAUGCAAGUCGAGCGAACGGACGAGAAGCUUGCUUCUCUGAUGUUAGCGGCGGACGGGUGAGUAACACGUGGAUAACCUACCUAUAAGACUGGGAUAACUUCGGGAAACCGGAGCUAAUACCGGAUAAUAUUUUGAACCGCAUGGUUCAAAAGUGAAAGACGGUCUUGCUGUCACUUAUAGAUGGAUCCGCGCUGCAUUAGCUAGUUGGUAAGGUAACGGCUUACCAAGGCAACGAUGCAUAGCCGACCUGAGAGGGUGAUCGGCCACACUGGAACUGAGACACGGUCCAGACUCCUACGGGAGGCAGCAGUAGGGAAUCUUCCGCAAUGGGCGAAAGCCUGACGGAGCAACGCCGCGUGAGUGAUGAAGGUCUUCGGAUCGUAAAACUCUGUUAUUAGGGAAGAACAUAUGUGUAAGUAACUGUGCACAUCUUGACGGUACCUAAUCAGAAAGCCACGGCUAACUACGUGCCAGCAGCCGCGGUAAUACGUAGGUGGCAAGCGUUAUCCGGAAUUAUUGGGCGUAAAGCGCGCGUAGGCGGUUUUUUAAGUCUGAUGUGAAAGCCCACGGCUCAACCGUGGAGGGUCAUUGGAAACUGGAAAACUUGAGUGCAGAAGAGGAAAGUGGAAUUCCAUGUGUAGCGGUGAAAUGCGCAGAGAUAUGGAGGAACACCAGUGGCGAAGGCGACUUUCUGGUCUGUAACUGACGCUGAUGUGCGAAAGCGUGGGGAUCAAACAGGAUUAGAUACCCUGGUAGUCCACGCCGUAAACGAUGAGUGCUAAGUGUUAGGGGGUUUCCGCCCCUUAGUGCUGCAGCUAACGCAUUAAGCACUCCGCCUGGGGAGUACGACCGCAAGGUUGAAACUCAAAGGAAUUGACGGGGACCCGCACAAGCGGUGGAGCAUGUGGUUUAAUUCGAAGCAACGCGAAGAACCUUACCAAAUCUUGACAUCCUUUGACAACUCUAGAGAUAGAGCCUUCCCCUUCGGGGGACAAAGUGACAGGUGGUGCAUGGUUGUCGUCAGCUCGUGUCGUGAGAUGUUGGGUUAAGUCCCGCAACGAGCGCAACCCUUAAGCUUAGUUGCCAUCAUUAAGUUGGGCACUCUAAGUUGACUGCCGGUGACAAACCGGAGGAAGGUGGGGAUGACGUCAAAUCAUCAUGCCCCUUAUGAUUUGGGCUACACACGUGCUACAAUGGACAAUACAAAGGGCAGCGAAACCGCGAGGUCAAGCAAAUCCCAUACAAGUUGUUCUCAGUUCGGAUUGUAGUCUGCAACUCGACUACAUGAAGCUGGAAUCGCUAGUAAUCGUAGAUCAGCAUGCUACGGUGAAUACGUUCCCGGGUCU
RNAcentral lists this ribosomal RNA (1373 nucleotides) under uncultured bacterium. Its description in RNAcentral is "bacterial SSU rRNA". It matches the Rfam family "Bacterial small subunit ribosomal RNA", at positions 28 to 1381 of the family's 1533-position model. The record is from RNAcentral.